UACGUAGGUGGCAAGCGUUAUCCGGAUUUACUGGGUGUAAAGGGCGUGUAGGCGGGGACGCAAGUCAGAUGUGAAAACCACGGGCUCAACCUGUGGCCUGCAUUUGAAACUGUGUUUCUUGAGUACUGGAGAGGCAGACGGAAUUCCUAGUGUAGCGGUGAAAUGCGUAGAUAUUAGGAGGAACACCAGUGGCGAAAGCGGCUCUCUGGUCUGUAACUGACGCUGAGGUUCGAAAGCGUGGGUAGCAAACAGG
This 253-nucleotide ribosomal RNA is filed under the name uncultured bacterium. Its description in RNAcentral is "partial 16S ribosomal RNA". It matches the Rfam family "Bacterial small subunit ribosomal RNA", at positions 524 to 776 of the family's 1533-position model. The record is from RNAcentral.